Molecule: long non-coding RNA, 872 nt
Organism: Beta vulgaris subsp. vulgaris (sugar beet)
Lineage: Eukaryota; Viridiplantae; Streptophyta; Magnoliopsida; Caryophyllales; Amaranthaceae
Exons: 4
Source: RefSeq, a predicted model, not a curated record
CGACCCUUCCAACCCCAUCUCUAUCUAUCCUUAUUGCUUAUUCUCUCACCUCACAACCGUCCUCUUUCUUCUUCUUUCUCUCACCUCACAUCACAACGGGAUUCAAUGGACGGUAUUUUUUUCUCUCUCACCGUCGACGGUAUUCAAUGCUCCGCUACCACACUUUCUCUGAUGUGAAGGAGGUUCGAUCGAUUUCUGAGCCAAUCACCGUCGCAGGUUUUCGUUUUAGGGUUAGUGAUUUUUUGGGGUUUUUUAUGUGGGUUGUUUCAGAUCUAGUUUUUUUUUGUUAAUUUCUCAAUUCUCCUUCAAAACCUUUUUUCGAUUUUUAUUUGCGAAUCCUUUUUUCGUAUAUUUUUUUCGUUUUCUCGAUUUUUGUUUCAGAUCUGGUUUUUUCUUAUUUUUUCGUCGGGUUUUUGUCCUAAUUAUUUCGAGGUUUUUUCUUCUUCUCAUCAGAUGUGUGGUUUUUUGGGGAUUAUAUAUGAUUUUGUGUCGAAUUUUUAAUCUGGUGUUUUGAUAUGUUGCCUUUUUCUUAUCUGAAAGUUAGUUUCAGUUUUUCUGGCGUGCGAUAAUUUUUCACUUUGGAUCAUUGUUGCUGUACUUUCAGUAUGUGAGAGGUUUGGAGAUAUAUUCAUUUCUUGGACAGAAAGAAGGAGAUGAGCUGAAGAGGAAUGCAGAUGUAGCAGAGAUUUUGAAAGGCAUGCAAUUCCCAAAGAUAUGCAAGAACUCUGACAAAAAGGCACCUGAGAAGAUCAUUGAUCAUGACCGAGUCCUUUGGUUUGGAGAUCUUAAUUAUCGUGUUUCUUUGCCUUAUGAAGAAGCUAGGUUACUGCUAGAGGAAAAUGAUUGGGAUACCCUCCUUGAGAAAGAUCAGG